CUUGUUACAUUUACAAAUUAUGUCGGUUUUUCAAAACCAGUACAAUGAAUGUUAAGUGUCCUAUUUAUUAAUUAAUAAAAUGUGCAGAGUAUUUAGUAAGAUUAAGUAUCAAAUUUAUAACAUCCAGACUGAGAUCCAGUGGUAACAAACACACUAUGUCACGGUUUAAAAAAAAAAAAAAAAAGUCAUUAGUAACAAUAACCCCAUUCCCUAAAUUGGGACAGACAAUCAAGUAUCUCUACAUUCCAUCUUGUUUUGGCAAUGAUAUUUACAAACAAUUUUACAUUGACUGGGAUUAAUGGAGAAAAAUGUCGUUGACUGCCCUUAAAAAGAAAAAAAAACAUGUUUAGCAAAUGUACAAUUAUAAUUUAAAACUCCACAACUUUAUCCCAAUAUUUUGUUCCACACACAUAUAUGAGCCAUCAUGUCAGAAGUUAAAGUCAUGCCUAAUUUAACAUUUCCUUAGUUGACUACUUAGAAAAACAAAAGUUCAUUCGAAAUAGCAUCGGUGUCAAAGGCGAAGGUCCCUUCCAGAUUGUUCUUGGAAUCAAAUUCAUUUACACCUUUCACCCUAACCCCUUUCAUCUCUCCCAGUGAUAGUACAACGAGUUACACCCCUAAAAAGCCACCCUGAUCCCCUAGUUUACAUAUUUCCCCUUAGACUGAAAUUCACUUACGAAAAGAGAUUACAAAGGGGCAUCUUGACACUUCAGGAGAGGGUCAUUCGCUGAUACAAUAGACAAAGAAUCGAUACUUUCGAGUUGCCAUAGCCCCACCCCCUUCUGAACUGCAAUGUGUUUGGCUAAAUGAUUUAAGAGCCAAAGAAUACGCCUCUUCCUCUGUUCAUACUUUACAACGUUUUGUCUUUUAAUUUUGCAUAUGCCUUCGUCUCCCACACCCCAAACACACGAUGUACCUUCCCUUGGCGCAUUCUAGCCAAACUUUCCCAAUGUCAAGUUCCCUACAGGGAAAACUAAACAACCUUGAAAGUUAAAAUUCGGGAGAGACAAUGUGAAAUUAAACACACAUUUCUUUCCAAGACAUAACUAACUGCUUGCAAGUAAGAGUCAGGAAAAGUUCAUUUACAUUCUGUCAAAACCAGUCGCUCCCGACCAUAACGAGGCUGACAGUCGGUCACUGCCCCUUACUCAGUUUUCUCUCCCCGCCCCUCCAUGUUAGUUUUUUUUUUUUUCCCAGUCCGUUUCCUGAGAAUUUCCCGGUCGCACUCAUUUGUUAAACACUUUAAAGGUCAGAUUUGCCCCCAUCCCGCCCCCAAAACGUGCUUUACAACCCCCAAACGCCACAGCACUUUUUUCAGAAUUACCACCAGAUUUUUUUCGGCCUGCCGUAACAGACGUUACAAUUGGGAAAGAGGCCAGCCACCAAGUCCCUUUUUUAAAAAUCGCAUGUCACCUCUGGCUCCACUCGAAAAUGGCGCCGAAAUCGAAGAACUUCUUAAAUUUCAUUGCAAGCUUUUUGCAAAGGUUUCUGGGAUUUGCCUGCGAAGCUGUUUCGCCGCGUCCGAGAGCGAGCGAACGUGCAAGCCAGCGAGGGAGAGAGGGAGGAAGGGCUGGGGAGGCGGAGAGACAGACCGAGCGAGCGACACACGGACAGCGACGGACAGCGACAGAAGCGGGGCCCGGGACUUGGGAGACGGCGAGGUUGCGGGGCGCGAGGUGCCGGGCACGGAGCUACAGGGACGCAGAACCGAGAGCCGGGGUCGCAGCGCGGAAGGGGCGCUGGCUGCUGCCGAAGCUCGGAGAGCGGCGUGGCGGAGGCGGAGCGGUGCUAGGGGCCAGCGCGGAGCGCUCCCUGGGAGGCGAGCGGCGCAGCCGGCGGAGAGGCUCCCGGAGCCGCCCUAGAAAAAGCCGGCUCGGGGGGCGUGGCCACGCGCUGCUGGCGCUCCCCGCCCCCCGGUGGCCCCGCUCGGCUCCGGGGCCCGGGGGCGGAAGGGGGGAGGGGAGGAAAGGAGCGGUAGGGAAGGGGGUUGUGCAGGCGCUCGAAGCCGCAGCCUUGGCCCGCUGCGGGGGCGGGCCGAGAAGGGCACUGGGCGCCCAGAGUAACCAACACCAAGACGAAUAGCGAGGGCUCGGGGAGAAAAAAACGAAGGAUGGCAAACGGCAAAGCCAAGGGCAUGAGAUAGCACAGCGCGCACCCAGAGGCUCCUGCGAUGGACGCCACCCCGCGCUCACCGGUCCUCUGGUGGUUCCUUUGAGCCGCCGGGAGGGCGCCAGGUGGCUGAGCGAGGCUUCUUGCUCGGUGCUUCCCAAACCUCAGAUGGUUUGGGAAGGGAAACAGGGGGUCUCAGACCGCGUGGAUGCGGCGCUCUCGCCACGCGUUUGAGUGCAGGUCUGUCGAGACGCCCCAGCCCUCGCCACCCCACCAAGCUCUCAGGUAGAGAGGCCCCGGGACAGGAAACCUGUUUAUGCACCCUCCUGCAAUCCCACCACCCGCCCAGGCCAAGUGAGUGAGCCCCUCUCCGCUACUGGUGUUUCAUCAUUCUGGGAGCUACUUCGAUUUCAUGCAUUGCCCUUCAGCUGCCAUGUUAUGAGGACGCUCGGACAGCCUAUGGAGAAAGCUACAAGAGAGGAACUGAGGUCUCCUGCCAUCAGCCACUUGAGUGAGCAUGGGAGUGGAUUCUCCAAACUCCAGUUAAGACUUGAGAUGACCACAGUGGCAGCCACAGCUUGACUGCAACUUACGAGAGACACUGAGCCAGAGGCACUCAGCUAAGUCGUGCACAGAUUCCUGACCCAUAGAACCUGUGACACAAUGAAGGUUUGUUGUUUUGGGGGUAAUCCGUUAUUCAGCAAUAGAUAAUGAAUACGGAAGGCCUUGUAAUUGUAUAACCAACGUGAGUUUAUAAGCGGAAAUCUGACCUCAUUUGUUUUCUCCUGAAAAAGUUGUAGAACAAUCACAAGACUGCAAGUCACUCCCUCUCUUUCUCUCUUUUGUGGGAAAUAAACAAGUAUAAUUACAAUUUUUAAACCCAUUGUUUUAUUCUCAAAUAAAAUUACAAUUUAAACAGGAUAUUGUACAGCUCCAUUGUAGGGAUUAACACUAAUGAGAAUUAAAGGACAUUUUUGUGAAA
Non-coding RNA from Chlorocebus sabaeus (green monkey), 3091 nucleotides. NCBI's taxonomy places the organism in Eukaryota, Metazoa, Chordata, Mammalia, Primates, Cercopithecidae. The record is from RefSeq and is a predicted model, not a curated record.